CUGCAGCUCAAGUGGUGAUCAUUAUUAUUGGGCCUAAAACGUCCGUAGCCGGUUUAGUAAAUGCCUGGGUAAAUCGUGUAGCUUAACUAUACGACUUCCGGGUAGACUGCCAAACUUGAGACCGGGAGAAGCUAGAGGUACUCCUGGGGUAGAGGUGAAAUUCUGUAAUCCUGGGGGGACCACCAGUGGCGAAGGCGUCUAGCUAGAACGGGUCUGACGGUGAGGAACGAAGCCCUGGGGCGCAAACCGGAUUAGAGACCCGAGUAGUCC
RNAcentral lists this ribosomal RNA (270 nucleotides) under uncultured archaeon. RNAcentral's name for it is "partial 16S ribosomal RNA". It matches the Rfam family "Archaeal small subunit ribosomal RNA", at positions 477 to 747 of the family's 1478-position model. The record is from RNAcentral.